This is a long non-coding RNA of Hyaena hyaena (striped hyena), 256 nucleotides long. RefSeq lists it as uncharacterized. The record is from RefSeq and is a predicted model, not a curated record. NCBI's taxonomy places the organism in Eukaryota, Metazoa, Chordata, Mammalia, Carnivora, Hyaenidae. The transcript has 3 exons.
GCGCGGGGGGCGGGGCGCCUUCCGACCCGGCUCCGCGGCGGCGGCAGCCAUUGGACCCAGCCGGGUCUCCUGCAUUAAUUUGACAAACAUUUAUUAAAGAUCGAGUUCAAUGAGCGCUAUGAGUUUCUGAACUCCCAACUCACGUGAUAAGAAAUUUUUCUGAUCCCGUGACCACACUUUGAGAACUGCUGUUCUAACCUAGAAGGCUGGGCUCCCUCUGAUGAUUCUGGAUUAAUAAAGUUUCACUACAUGUGAA